Molecule: small nucleolar RNA, 181 nt
Organism: Fukomys damarensis (Damara mole-rat)
Lineage: Eukaryota; Metazoa; Chordata; Mammalia; Rodentia; Bathyergidae
Gene: U3
Rfam family: Small nucleolar RNA U3
About the family: Small nucleolar RNAs (snoRNAs) are involved in the processing and modification of rRNA in the nucleolus.
Source: Ensembl
AAGGUUGUACAUUCCGGGAUCAUUUGUGUAGUUCAUUACUAGAGAGUUUCACAAAUCGUGUAGACUACCGGAAGCCAUGAUGAAGAGGCAUAGUGUUCCUUUCUGAGCAUGAAGCUGGUUCUUGGUGUUGCUUUGCUGCAACUGCCAUUUGUCAGUGGGCAGGGAACACAGUUUGAGCAGC